AGAAUCAACGCUGGCGGCGUGCCUAACACAUGCAAGUCGAUCGAGAAAGUGGAGCAAUCCAUGAGUAAAGAGGCGCACGGGUGAGUAACACGUGAAUUAUCUACCUCCGAGUGGGGAAUAACUGAGAGAAAUCUUAGCUAAUACCGCAUAACACUUACGAGUCAAAGCAGCAAUGCGCUUGGAGAGGAGUUCGCGGCCGAUUAGUUAGUUGGCGGGGUAAUGGCCCACCAAGACGAUGAUCGGUA
Molecule: ribosomal RNA, 245 nt
Filed under: uncultured bacterium
Lineage: Bacteria
Description: partial small subunit ribosomal RNA
Rfam family: Bacterial small subunit ribosomal RNA
Source: RNAcentral